CAAUAUACAUUAGUUUAUGGGGAAAUGACGUCCUUCGUGAAUCAUUCAUAAUUGUGCGAAAAACGACCAACGAGUAGGAACAAAUACUCGGUAGUCUAGUAAUUCGCAUAAACAUUAGAAUCGUACACAUAUUUAUCACAGUAUAUUGUUCAGGGACGGCGCGAACGCAGUCCCGCUACCAAAAAUUACGUGUCCGAGAUAUUCCAAUUUGGAAUACUCGCAGGGGUCAACCGUCCCGAUGUGCAAUGGGAAAGUCUCGUCCUGGAGGAACCGCCUCGGUGAUCACGGUUGACCUCGACACCAAGUAAGUAUGCCCGAUGCUCUCAGAGUACCCCGUUAAGUAACCCG
This is a non-coding RNA of Cinara cedri, 348 nucleotides long. NCBI's taxonomy places the organism in Eukaryota, Metazoa, Arthropoda, Insecta, Hemiptera, Aphididae. The record is from the annotation of a GenBank genome assembly.